UAGAUUGAAGCCCGCUGGUUUGGGUUUUUAGUUGUUAACUAAAGGUUUAUGGGAUCAAGGCCCGUCGGUCUAGG
RNAcentral lists this transfer RNA (74 nucleotides) under Mniarogekko chahoua (Bavay's giant gecko). RNAcentral's name for it is "tRNA-Asn". Lineage: Eukaryota; Metazoa; Chordata; Lepidosauria; Squamata; Diplodactylidae. The record is from RNAcentral.